GCUGAUAUUCUAGCCCCCCCACAACCAAUGAACCAUUAGGCCUUUAUGAAUUUACUAAAACAUUCUUUAAGUCUAGUAAAGGCGAUUAAAAAACUGCCAGGAGCUAUAUAAAUAGUACCGCAAGGGAAAGAUGAAAUAAAAAUGAAAUAAAUAACAAGCACAAAAAAGUAGAGAUAAACCCUCGUACCUUUUGCAUCAUGGUUUAACAAGUCUAAUCAAGCACAACGACUUACAGUUUGACCCCCCGAAACUAAGUGAGCUACUUCAGGGCAGCUUAUUGAGCAAACCCGUCUCUGUUGCAAAAGAGUGGGAAGACCUUCAAGUAGAGGUGACAGGCCUAACGAACUUAGUGAUAGCUGGUUACUCAAGAAAAGGAUUUAAGUCCCGCCUAAAGUUCAUUUGAUAAAGUAAAAUAACACUUUGACUUUAGAGUAAUUCAAAUAAGGUACAGCCUAUUUGAAAUAGGAUACAACCUCUACUAACGGGUAAUUUACUAAUUUAAUAAUUCAAGUAGGCCUAAAAGCAGCCACCUUUAAAAUAGCGUCAAAGCUUUAUUAAAUAUUUUGUCUAAUAAUCUGAUUUAACUAAAACCCUUUAUUUAUAUUGAGUAAUUCUAUAUUUCUAUAGAACCUACAAUGUUAAGACUAGUAACAAGAAGAAGCCCUUCUCUUAAAUGCAAGUGUAAAUCAGCAAGGACAACCCCCUGAUAAUCAACACCCAUGAAAUUAUAUUAGUAACUUCACAAGAAAAUCCUAGUACAACAUGUGUUAACCUAACACAAGAGCAUUCCAAGAAAGAUUAAAAGAAAAAGAAGGAACUUGGCAAAUAUUAACCCCGCCUGUUUACCAAAAACAUCGCCUCUUGAAUAACUAUAAGAGGUCCAGCCUGCCCAGUGACU
This 898-nucleotide ribosomal RNA is filed under the name Nyctimantis arapapa. Its description in RNAcentral is "partial 16S ribosomal RNA". The stretch from base 166 to 898 matches the Rfam family "Bacterial large subunit ribosomal RNA", at positions 568 to 1871 of the family's 2925-position model. The record is from RNAcentral. Lineage: Eukaryota; Metazoa; Chordata; Amphibia; Anura; Hylidae.